RNAcentral lists this long non-coding RNA (545 nucleotides) under Hordeum vulgare. RNAcentral describes it as "long non-coding RNA (HVUL_LNC017164)". The record is from RNAcentral. Lineage: Eukaryota; Viridiplantae; Streptophyta; Magnoliopsida; Poales; Poaceae.
UAUGUAUAUAAGCUUUGGAAUUUUAGGCAGUGUCGUGUGUGGUGUCGAAUGCAAGUGCGGACGCAUGGCAACAAAAUGACGAGUGAAUUUGGUCUUAGCCUCUUAGGGCUGUAACAUCAAAGUGACACAGCAGGCCUGUGAGUGCCAUUUGUAUAAUGCGUGAGACAUGCAUGCAUAUGAACAAAGGUAGAGUAGAAAGGCGGGAAAAGUGGGAUCGGAUGUCGCAUAUGAACAAAGGUAUGCAUACCUUCCAUCCGCCAGGUGUAUCGUACUAUCGGUCGGCCGGCCGGCCGUGAUUCAGAUCUCAAUUAUACUACAUGCAUGCACCCUACUGCUUCUACUUCUACUUCUACUAUAGUUGGUAUAUUGUUUCCUCCUAUUAGUCGGGUGCUCCAAAUUUAUGGGCCUCACGAUUGAAAUCGGACGGCACAGAGUCAUCCUUAACCUCCAGCUGCUGGCUUGUUCACCAUCUCCCUCAAAUCAACAGGUCCAUCCCAUGUACCACCGGCCGACCCGCCCUCCCCUCAUUGCCAUACUCCAAACCU